Molecule: ribosomal RNA, 500 nt
Filed under: uncultured bacterium
Lineage: Bacteria
Description: partial 16S ribosomal RNA
Rfam family: Bacterial small subunit ribosomal RNA
Source: RNAcentral
AUUGAACGCUGGCGGCAUGCCUUACACAUGCAAGUCGAACGGCAGCACGGGAGCAAUCCUGGUGGCGAGUGGCGAACGGGUGAGUAAAGUAUCGGAACGUGCCCAGUCGUGGGGGAUAACGUAGCGAAAGUUACGCUAAUACCGCAUACGAUCUAUGGAUGAAAGCGGGGGAUCGCAAGACCUCGCGCGAUUGGAGCGGCCGAUAUCAGAUUAGGUAGUUGGUGGGGUAAAGGCUCACCAAGCCGACGAUCUGUAGCUGGUCUGAGAGGCAGACCGGCCACACUGGGACUGAUUCACGGCCCAGACUCGUACGGGAGGCAGCAGUGGGGAAUUUUGGACAAUGGGCGAAAGCAUGAUCCAGCAAUGCCGCGUGCAGGAUGAAGGCGUUCGGGUUGUAAACUGCUUUUGUACAGAACGAAAAGGUUUGGGCUAAUAAGCUGAGCUCAUGACGUUACCGUAAGAAUAAGCACCGGCUAACUACGUGCCAGCAGCCGCCGUAA